This 660-nucleotide ribosomal RNA is filed under the name Staphylococcus pasteuri. Its description in RNAcentral is "bacterial SSU rRNA". It matches the Rfam family "Bacterial small subunit ribosomal RNA", at positions 12 to 654 of the family's 1533-position model. The record is from RNAcentral. Lineage: Bacteria; Bacillati; Bacillota; Bacilli; Caryophanales; Staphylococcaceae.
UUUGAUCCUGGCUCAGGAUGAACGCUGGCGGCGUGCCUAAUACAUGCAAGUCGAGCGAACAGAUAAGGAGCUUGCUCCUUUGACGUUAGCGGCGGACGGGUGAGUAACACGUGGAUAACCUACCUAUAAGACUGGGAUAACUUCGGGAAACCGGAGCUAAUACCGGAUAACAUACUGAACCGCAUGGUUCAAUAGUGAAAGGCGGCUUUGCUGUCACUUAUAGAUGGAUCCGCGCCGUAUUGGCUAGUUGGUAAGGUAACGGCUUACCAAGGCAACGAUACGUAGCCGACCUGAGAGGGUGAUCGGCCACACUGGAACUGAGACACGGUCCAGACUCCUACGGGAGGCAGCAGUAGGGAAUCUUCCGCAAUGGGCGAAAGCCUGACGGAGCAACGCCGCGUGAGUGAUGAAGGUCUUCGGAUCGUAAAACUCUGCUAUCAGGGAAGAACAAAUGUGUAAGUAACUGUGCACAUCUUGACGGUACCUGAUCAGAAAGCCACGGCUAACUACGUGCCAGCAGCCGCGGUAAUACGUAGGUGGCAAGCGUUAUCCGGAAUUAUUGGGCGUAAAGCGCGCGUAGGCGGUUUUUUAAGUCUGAUGUGAAAGCCCACGGCUCAACCGUGGAGGGUCAUUGGAAACUGGAAAACUUGAGUGCAGAAG